CUUGCUUUCUUUGCUGGCGACCGGCGCACGGGUGAGUAACACGUAUCCAACCUGCCCUUUACUCGGGGAUAGCCUUUCGAAAGAAAGAUUAAUACCCGAUAGUAUAAUGAUUCCGCAUGGUUUCAUUAUUAAAGGAUUCCGGUAAAGGAUGGGGAUGCGUUCCAUUAGGUUGUUGGUGAGGUAACGGCUCACCGAGCCUUCGAUGGAUAGGGGUUCUGAGAGGAAGGUCCCCCACAUUGGAACUGAGACACGGUCCAAACUCCUACGGGAGGCAGCCAUG
Molecule: ribosomal RNA, 280 nt
Filed under: uncultured bacterium
Lineage: Bacteria
Description: partial 16S ribosomal RNA
Rfam family: Bacterial small subunit ribosomal RNA
Source: RNAcentral